RNAcentral lists this ribosomal RNA (254 nucleotides) under uncultured bacterium. RNAcentral describes it as "partial 16S ribosomal RNA". It matches the Rfam family "Bacterial small subunit ribosomal RNA", at positions 524 to 776 of the family's 1533-position model. The record is from RNAcentral.
UACGGGGGGGGGCAAGCGUUGUUCGGAAUUACUGGGCGUAAAGGGCUCGUAGGCGGCCAACUAAGUCAGACGUGAAAUCCCUCGGCUUAACCGGGGAACUGCCUCUGAUACUGGAUGGCUUGAGUUCGGGAGAGGGAUGCGGAAUUCCAGGUGUAGCGGUGAAAUGCGUAGAUAUCUGGAGGAACACCGGUGGCGAAGGCGGCAUCCUGGACCGACACUGACGCUGAGGAGCGAAAGCCAGGGGAGCAAACGGG